Molecule: ribosomal RNA, 453 nt
Filed under: uncultured Prevotellaceae bacterium
Lineage: Bacteria; Pseudomonadati; Bacteroidota; Bacteroidia; Bacteroidales; Prevotellaceae
Description: bacterial SSU rRNA
Rfam family: Bacterial small subunit ribosomal RNA
Source: RNAcentral
ACGGAAGGCAGCAGUGAGGAAUAUUGGUCAAUGGACGCAUGUCUGAACCAGCCAUGCCGCGUGCAGGAAUAAGGCCCUAUGGGUCGUAAACUGCUUUUGUGGUGGAGCAAUAAGUCGUACGUGUACGGCGAUGAGAGUACAUCACGAAUAAGCAUCGGCUAACUCCGUGCCAGCAGCCGCGGUAAUACGGAGGAUGCAAGCGUUAUCCGGAUUUAUUGGGUUUAAAGGGAGCGUAGGCGGGCGUUUAAGUCAGUGGUCAAAGCGUGUGGCUCAACCAUACCACGCCAUUGAUACUGGAUGCCUUGAGUGCACAUAAGGAUGGUGGAAUUCAUGGUGUAGCGGUGAAAUGCUUAGAUAUCAUGAAGAACUCCGAUUGCGAAGGCAGCUGUCCGGGGUGUAACUGACGCUAAUGCUCGAAAGUGCGGGUAUCAAACAGGAUUAGAUACCCUGGUA